UACGUAGGGAGCGAGCGUUGUCCGGAAUUACUGGGCGUAAAGGGCGCGUAGGCGGGAAUUUAAGUAAGGUGUGAAAACUCCGGGCUCAACCUGGAGACUGCACUUUAAACUGGAUUUCUUGAGGGCAGGAGAGGAAAGUGGAAUUCCUAGUGUAGCGGUGAAAUGCGUAGAUAUUAGGAGGAACACCAGUGGCGAAGGCGACUUUCUGGACUGUACCUGACGCUGAGGCGCGAAAGCGUGGGGAGCGAACAGGAUUAGAUACC
This 263-nucleotide ribosomal RNA is filed under the name uncultured bacterium. RNAcentral describes it as "partial 16S ribosomal RNA". It matches the Rfam family "Bacterial small subunit ribosomal RNA", at positions 524 to 786 of the family's 1533-position model. The record is from RNAcentral.